CGUGCAGGUGGUUCGGUAAGUUGGAUGUGAAAGCUCCUGGCUCAACUGGGAGAGGUCGUUCAAUACUACCGGACUUGAGAGCAGUAGAGGGAGGUGGAAUUCCCGGUGUAGUGGUGAAAUGCGUAGAUAUCGGGAGGAACACCAGUGGCGAAAGCGGCCUCCUGGACUGUUUCUGACACUCAGACGCGAAAGCUAGGGUAGCAAACGGGAUUAGAGACCCCGGUAGUCCUAGCUGUAAACGAUGUGAACUUGGCGUCGGCGGGUUCAAAGCCGUCGGUGCCGAAGCUAACGCGAUAAGUUCACCGCCUGGGGACUACGGCCGCAAGGUUAAA
This 332-nucleotide ribosomal RNA is filed under the name uncultured bacterium. RNAcentral describes it as "bacterial SSU rRNA". It matches the Rfam family "Bacterial small subunit ribosomal RNA", at positions 568 to 898 of the family's 1533-position model. The record is from RNAcentral.